RNAcentral lists this ribosomal RNA (112 nucleotides) under Jaculus jaculus (lesser Egyptian jerboa). The record is from RNAcentral. Lineage: Eukaryota; Metazoa; Chordata; Mammalia; Rodentia; Dipodidae.
GUUUAUGGCAGUACCACCCUGAACAUGCCAAAUUUUGUCAGAUCAGAAGCUAAGCAGGGUGGGGCCUGGUUAGUACUUAGAAGGGCAAAAAAAGAUUCAGAUUCCGUAAAUU